GCGGCUGUGGCGGAACAGGCAGACGCGCACGUUUGAGGGGCGUGUGGGAGACCGUAUGGGUUCAAGUCCCAUCAGCCGCACCA
This 83-nucleotide transfer RNA is filed under the name Oscillospiraceae bacterium. RNAcentral's name for it is "tRNA-Leu". It matches the Rfam family "tRNA". From Rfam's summary of the family: Transfer RNA (tRNA) molecules are approximately 80 nucleotides in length. Their secondary structure includes four short double-helical elements and three loops (D, anti-codon, and T loops). Further hydrogen bonds mediate the characteristic L-shaped molecular structure. tRNAs have two regions of fundamental functional importance: the anti-codon, which is responsible for specific mRNA codon recognition, and the 3' end, to which the tRNAs corresponding amino acid is attached (by aminoacyl-tRNA synthetases). tRNAs cope with the degeneracy of the genetic code in two manners: having more than one tRNA (with a specific anti-codon) for a particular amino acid; and 'wobble' base-pairing, i.e. permitting non-standard base-pairing at the 3rd anti-codon position. The record is from RNAcentral. Lineage: Bacteria; Bacillati; Bacillota; Clostridia; Eubacteriales; Oscillospiraceae.